Long non-coding RNA from Cynoglossus semilaevis (tongue sole), 515 nucleotides. RefSeq lists it as uncharacterized. NCBI's taxonomy places the organism in Eukaryota, Metazoa, Chordata, Actinopteri, Pleuronectiformes, Cynoglossidae. The transcript is spliced from 4 exons. The record is from RefSeq and is a predicted model, not a curated record.
AAACAUCACUCCUAAAUAGAAAUAGAUUUUUAAAAGGAGCAGCAGACCUGGUAACCUCACCUUGUUAAGGGCUCCGAUGCUGCGGGAAGCGGUGUCAGUGAAGAGCCGACUGUGCAGCAUCAUGGCCCGUCCCAGCAGGUACUCCAGCAGACCCACGGGGUAAGGAUGAAUGGCCGCUGCUGCCAGCUCCAGGGCUAUCAGUGCCAGGCGGUCAGUGGUCAUGGCAGUCCGCCAAUCCUCGGCACCAAUGUCAUGGACGUAGAGCUAAGUACCACAAGGAGAGGGACAGGUCGUCAGAGUGCAGCCAAGAGCUGUCUUUGCACAGUAGAUUAUCUCCCUCCAUCCAAUGUGGACGACCCAGGGUUUCAAGACAUGGUCAAGGCCACAGAACGACUUCAAUGUCUCUGACCUUGCUGUAGAUGCUCCAGGACAACUCAGUCUCCAUCACCAUCAGCACCACACCAAAUAUCCCCGCAGCCAGGGCGCAGUCAGCCAAACGCUGCCUUCUCACAAAC